RNAcentral lists this transfer RNA (73 nucleotides) under Stegodyphus mimosarum. It matches the Rfam family "tRNA". Rfam says of the family: Transfer RNA (tRNA) molecules are approximately 80 nucleotides in length. Their secondary structure includes four short double-helical elements and three loops (D, anti-codon, and T loops). The record is from Rfam by way of RNAcentral. Lineage: Eukaryota; Metazoa; Arthropoda; Arachnida; Araneae; Eresidae.
GCCUUCAUAGUCUAGUGGUUAGCACACUCGACGCGUAACCGAGAGGUCCUUGGUUCGAUUCCCGGCGAAGGCG